Molecule: ribosomal RNA, 466 nt
Filed under: uncultured bacterium
Lineage: Bacteria
Description: partial 16S ribosomal RNA
Rfam family: Bacterial small subunit ribosomal RNA
Source: RNAcentral
GGACGAACGCUGGCGGCGUGCUUAACCCAUGCAAGUCGUACGGUAAGGCCCUUUCGGGGGUACACGAGUGGCGAACGGGUGAGUAACACGUGAGUAACCUGCCCACAACUUUGGGAUAACGCUAGGAAACUGGUGCUAAUACUGGAUAUGUGCUCCUGCUGCAUGGUGGGGGUUGGAAAGCUCCGGCGGUUGUGGAUGGACUCGCGGCCUAUCAGCUUGUUGGUGGGGUAGUGGCCUACCAAGGCGGCGACGGGUAGCCGGCCUGAGAGGGUGACCGGCCACAUUGGGACUGAGAUACGGCCCAGACUCCUACGGGAGGCAGCAGUGGGGAAUAUUGCACAAUGGGCGCAAGCCUGAUGCAGCAACGCCGCGUGCGGGAUGACGGCCUUCGGGUUGUAAACCGCUUUCAGCAGGGACGAAGCUUUUUGUGACGGUACCUGCAGAAGAAGCACCGGCUAACUACGUG